RNAcentral lists this ribosomal RNA (400 nucleotides) under uncultured bacterium. RNAcentral describes it as "bacterial SSU rRNA". It matches the Rfam family "Bacterial small subunit ribosomal RNA", at positions 355 to 772 of the family's 1533-position model. The record is from RNAcentral.
UGGGGAAUAUUGGACAAUGGGGGACACCCUGAUCCAGCGACACCGCGUGAAUGAUGAAGGUCUUAGGACUGUAAAGUUCUUUCACUUGAGAAGAUAAUGACGUUAUCAAGAGAAGAAGUCCCGGCUAACUUCGUGCCAGCAGCCGCGGUAAUACGAAGGGGGCUAGCGUUAUUCGGAAUUAUUGGGCGUAAAGGGUGCGUAGGCGGCGCCUUAAGUAAGAUGUUAAAUACAUGGGCUCAACCCAUUGUGCGCAUCUUAUACUGAGGUGCUUGAGUUUGGAAGAGGAAAGUAGAAUUUCUAGUGGAGAGGUAAAAUUCUUAGAUAUUAGAAGGAAUACCGAUGGCGAAGGCAACUUUCUGGUACAAUACUGACGCUGAGGCACGAAAGCGUGGGGAGCAAA